This is a long non-coding RNA of Ostrea edulis (European flat oyster), 1163 nucleotides long. RefSeq lists it as uncharacterized. Lineage: Eukaryota; Metazoa; Mollusca; Bivalvia; Ostreida; Ostreidae. The transcript is spliced from 4 exons. The record is from RefSeq and is a predicted model, not a curated record.
AACUUAAUCACUCCAUAUCAUUAUCUUCCCACCAUUUUAUUCCAUAAUCACAUUGUUUUGUAAGUUUUCCCUCUAAAUUUUUCUGAUUUUUGUAAUUUUUCAAGAAUAAUUUUAUUUUCAUCCCGACCCGACCAUGGUACAAACUCUCUAAACCAUAGUCAGUAAACACGCUUUACAACGUAACCACCACCAUAUUUAUCACUCAGUACAAUAGUGUAUCACUCUUCUCACCAAUGUAGUUUAUCGAUACUUGUCGUUUUUGUGUGUUAUUUGUUUAUCUAAUAUAUGUCUCUUGAUAAAGACGCGGGUUGCGUCGAAAAUUUGAGUUUUAAAUAACCAACAGUGUCGUGGCCUUUUCAGUGCUUUUAUAUAUAUAUAUAUAUAUAUAUAUAUAUAUAUGGUAAACAAUCUGUAUAUAUCAUAAUAUAUGCAUAUAUAGAUCUAUCUGUAUUUCAUUUUUUAUUUGGGGGGGGUGUGUGUGUUAAUAUUGAUAUACACUGUAUGUCAAAAGAUGUCCCUGCAGAGGGAAAUUAUUGAAGAUCAUCAUAUUAUUUUUAUAAACUACAGUGUAGUUAACUUAUUAAUUAAUUAACCAAUCAAUUCAGAGAGCGGGUCUUCACAGUACUUGGCUCUAACAACCGUAAAUUGAGAUCGGGUUCCUGAUAAAAAGCAUCGGGUGUGCACUCCGAGUUCCCGCGCAUAGUCAGCAUGCAGACACCAUGUUUAUGAUGUUGUGACCUACCGUAAACAUUAUGAACAGACAAAGAAUAGCCUUCAACAGGGACCCGAGGGAGUUUGUGGUGUUAUCCUGAAGAGACUCCCAACCAUUAAAAUAUAAUUCAUGAUAGAUACAGAAUUUAUAUGGUGUGACCACUGACCAGACUGGUUUUAAUAUGCCAUUCUGAGAAUUACACUAUGCAGACCUGGAUCAAUGUUUAUAUAGUUCCAAAAUGAGUUUACUCUGAAUGACACUUCAGUUCAUGCACAUUUUAGAAUGUACGUCAUCAAUGUUCUCCCAAAGGAAAGUGAGCAAAAACUUAUCCAGAGAAUCAACAGCACAUUUUUGUGAAACUUUUUAAAAUGUGCAGGAGAAAUAGGAUUACGAAGAAGAGAAGCUUUGUCAUAAUUUUUUAUAGUAUGAAUUAAAUGCAAUUUCUCAUAUA